CAAACACACACUAGACCCCUCACACACACUACAUCCUUCACAAACACAAUGCAGCCCCGUACACACACUGUACCCCUCACACACACUUAACCCCACACAGAUUGCACCCCUAACACACACAUACAUUGCGCCACACACACCUGCCCCUAUCCUCUACUACAGACCCUCUCCAAACAGUUUGACUACUUACCCUGGGAGGGCACCAUAACCAC
Non-coding RNA from Pelobates cultripes (western spadefoot toad), 212 nucleotides. The record is from the annotation of a GenBank genome assembly. Lineage: Eukaryota; Metazoa; Chordata; Amphibia; Anura; Pelobatidae.